CCUCAGAGUAUUCCCGAACAGCUUGCAAGCCCCUGGAGGGGAUCUGCAUGUGCUCGGAGCCCUGCCUCCUCAGCUCAGCCCCUGUGCCUGGUCCCUGCUCGGCAUGACGGUGUGAGACGCCCUGCUUCGCAGCAGUCAGCUCCGCCACCGACCGCACGCUGCGCACCACGGAAACCUUAGAGGGUGCUUCGGAGCGGUGAUUUGCAAUCGGUGCCCCCAGUCCUAGAAAGGGAUCUGGCCAGGGACAGGGAAAGGGUUGCCGGCAGUGGGGGCAAUGUGUGACCACCAGGGUUUUGGUCCGCACCCCGAGGCCGCGCGUUAACCAAUGCAGGGAAAAGCAGACCGAUUGAUCCGGGAUUGAGGUCAUCAGGCUUGAAUCUUAAUGGACUCUUGUAGCUGCACGAUGAAGUUUCAGCCCUUGGCCUGGCAUUUAGGCGUCUACCUGGUGGGGCCCAACCAUAAAAGCCUCAGGCACUGGGACAGCCCUGGUCUAAGGAUUUGGUCUAUUCCCAGGGCGAGUCUCCACUGCUGUUCUGGGUCUGUGUUCGUCUCUGCCCUGAGGUUGGAAACUUUGCCUGAUAUUUCUCUGCAUCCGUGUGUCAGACACAGUUGUUGUCUCAAUAAAUGUUGAAUGAAUGAAUCAAUCAAUGAACAUACCCUCAAAGUUAGGCAAACUCCUCUGGUACUACUUCCAUUUUCAGAUGAAUAACCUGGAGCCGGAAAGGGCCAUCUGCAAAUUCCAUUUGGACAACAUCACCAUCUAUCACAUCGUAACUUAGAAUGUACCAAUCAGAGAUAGCUUGUGGCUGAACUGCUGGCAACGACAGAGAUCGACCAGGCUGCCCAGCAGAAGGAAACUUCUAUGCUCUCAGACACUCAUUUUGUGGACCACUUCACUCAUUUGCACCACCUGUAGUUACUGCUGCCAAGGCUGCCCCUGGAAGAAGCCAUGAAAUGAAGAGUGGCCAAGGGGUUGAUUUCAUGGUUAGUAAGCAAGGGUAUGAGCUAAUGUGCAUCCACUACAUAAAGGAUGGCCCUCUAAAUCCUGAAAUCCUUUGCAUAUGCAUGUGGAGAUCAUCAAUAAAAUUCGUACAGAGGGACAGUGAAUGUGGUUUAGGGAAAAGCAAGAGGCAUUUUAUAAGGUCAAGAGCCUGCCAGCCAAGGACACUGGAUUCCUGUUGGAACUCUAAUCAGUUUCUCUCCAAAGCCAAUAUUCAUGCUUGCCUGAUACUUGCUUCUAACCAAACAGGAGGGUAAUUCUCCUGUUGGGGUCCCGAAAGCUUGACAACAUGCCUUGUCUGGCAGCUGGGGAAAGGAGAGCCUCCCUCUAGUUGGAAAUCCUCUUUGGGAGCAUUGGGUAAUGACAGGGAGAGGUCCUUCCCUCUGGUGAUUGAGAAAUGAGCACAUGGAUGAAAUCCAGGAUCCUGGGCUGGGAAAUCUCCAUAGCAACACAUUCCUGCUCUAACCUUUCUUGGUCCAAAAUUUCCAAACCAGACCUUUCUACAGAACUCGGAGGUGGGAGGAUGUGCUUAUUACUAAGAGAGAGUCUUGGCCUCUUCUCUCUCUUCAAAUCCCACCACGUACCCCACAGAUUUAUAAGCAUGCACCAGGUGUCCACAUGCACACAUAUACCCAUAGAUCUUAAAGGAGAAAUUCCUUCCAUGCUUCUGACUCUCAGGUCAGAUAUCUUUAUCCCAAGAGACCUCAUGUGAUGAGAAAAGAGAAUUAACAGAGUCUUUACUUGUAAAUACAGUAGCUAUUUCAAAAGGAAAACAAGAAAGUAAUUUCUUCCCAAAAUGAUGACUCUGGAUCUGCUGGAGGAGGAGAGUCCAUCUCUGUGUUUGCCCUAUGCCUAGCUGCAUGGACAGUGAACCCUGGAAACCAACCAAGACAAGCCAAACAACCCUUGCUAAGCUGCUGGAAGGUGCUGGUAGCAGGGUGGUCUUGAACCACAUUGUGAAGAUAUAAAACCUGCGGUAUCCAUGGAGUGGGAGAGUCCAGUCAACCAAAGGGACAAACCUGGGCAAAAAUGGGGAGAAGAGCGCAGCUGGCAAUUCCACAAGUCAUCAGCAGAUAGAGGAAUGUCUAGAUUGCUCGGUCUCGGACUUAGCAUGAAUCAGAAACAUCUGGAAGAUUUGUUCCCUGAAUCCUAGCAUCACUUGGGGACUUGCUAGAGCCCCAAAUCUUGACACCAACAAGUAACCUCCAGACCCCAUCUGGUGGAGCCUCCUAAUCAGACUCUGAUAGUUGACUUUUACACAAGUAGACUGCUCUAUGAGCACAUCUUAUUCUCAAAGCACUCUGGAAUAUUUGGUGAGUGUUGAUGCUUCUACUCUGCUAAGGAGGAAACAGAUCCACAGUGGGUCAUUGGCUCACCUAAGGUCACCCAGCACAUUAGCAGGAGUUCCAGAAUUGAACCCAAAGCUCCUGAGUCAUGGCCCAGUGACAAACCCCAUUUCACCAUGUGGCUAUAAAAAGAUCCAUCUCUGGAGAGAGCCUCCUCCGAGGUUUGCUGAGAUAAGCCAAGUUCAGGGUGCUGUGCAUGUGCCUUAACUGGGCAGUGAGCCACCAGCCACCUGACAGGAGGAGUGACUGUCCAGAGGAGAGGAAAGAGGGGAAUGCCUCAAGGAGGAGGUGUAAAAGGAAGUGUUUUGCCUUGGAUAGCUGAAGGUCAGAUCAAGACAUGACAUAGCUAGUCUGUGAGAAAAAUCUUUUUUUCAAUUGCACAAAUAUUUAUAACAUUUGCCAGUUCUCUUGGUGUAAAUAUGAGGCCACUGGACACAGAAUUGAGAAGACGUGUGCACAAUCAGCUCCAGCCAGCCACUGCCCCAACCUCACCUCCCACUCCCCAUCUUUAGGCAAGGACCAUCAAUUUGUACUAAUGGUGAAUUUUCCAUCCAGAGCUAAUCAUGUGUGAUGCCCAUCCCAAAUAAGUAAGGAUUCUAAUGCCAUUGUGGACAAAGUGGGUAUGAGUAUUAUCUUUGUCAAGUUAUGUUUGGAAAUAAACACAGCCUUACCAUUACAACAUCUGCUCCACAGUUUAAAGGUCAAGGGCAUGACACUGCCUGGCUUUUAAUCCUUGUUUUGUUACUUACUAGUUCUGUAACCUUAGGCAUUUACUUAAUUUCUCUGUGCCUUAGUUUCCCCAUCUAACUAAAGGGAAUAAUAAUAAUAAUACAGAUCCCAUCGGUGAUUAUGAGUCUUAAACUAUCUAGAAGAUAGAAAGCCCUUAAAAUAGUGGCUGGUAAAAGUAAGCCCCCAAUAAAUGUCACAUAUCAUCACUAUUUGUUGAUAGAUGGAAGGUACUUCUGUGAACACAUGGGGAAGGUAAGGGAAGUUGCACUUAGAUCAUUCUCAGGUAUAGUGAGGAUCAGGAAAACACAUAAAGAAUGAUAGACUCUCUGAAAAAGGGUGUUGAGGACUUUUAGUCCAAGCUCCCACACAAUGAGGAAAUCCCUUCUGCUACACCAAUUUCUUUUUUAUCUAAUUUAAAUUCAAAUAGCCAAUGUAGUACAUCGUUAGUUUUUGAUAUAAUGUUCAAUGAUUCAUUAGUUGCUACACCAGUUUCCACUGGAACAUCUCCAAUGACAGGAUUUCCUUCUGAAGGUUGCUUCUUCCAUUGUUAGCUUUGCCCCCAAUUCUGAAUCAAAAGCAACCUCCAUGUGCCCUCCUUAAUACCCUGUGAUGAGCACUGGGUGUUACACGUAAAUAAUGAAUCAUUGAACACUACAUCAAAAACUAAUGAUGUACUAUACAGUGGCUAACUGAACAUAAUAAAAAUAAAUAAAUAAAUAUCAUUUUUUUUUAAAGUGCAAAAAACAAAAACAAAAACAAAACAAAACAAAAAAGCGACCUCCAGGAGUGUACAGUUCAUUGCUUCUAGUUGGUCCGGCUGGAACCACAUGGAAAAGUUUGAUCCCUCCUUUCCCUAAGGAGAAAUAAGUUCAAAUUUCUGGAUUAUCACCAGCAGUAACCAACUCUGUGAACCAGCUCUAAAUGCAAGCUGUGUUAGUUCACAGAGUUGAGUGACUGAAACCUAGCUCUCUGAUGAUCUCAAUGCUCAAAACCACUGGACAACUCCUCAGGCCCCGUGGGUCAGGUACAAUCACGUUCCCAUUCUGGGUGACCCAUUCUGUUCACCAUUGGGAGUUGCCCAGAGAGGGUUAAAGUGGCACAGUUCAGCUUAAAUGUCACCCUUUGGUUUGGGGAACAGAGGGCACUUUGAUUAAGAGUCCCACUGGGACUGCACACAGUGAGAAUGAAGUAGAUCUCAAAAAACAAAAACUUAAACCAUAAUAGUAAGGUGGUGGGAGGGUGAUGUCUUUUUUUUUUUUUAAUUUUAAUUUUUUUUUAUUCUUAUGUUAAUCCCCAUACAUUACAUCAUUAGUUUUAGAUGAAGUGUUCCAUGAUUCAUUGUUUGUGCACAACACCCAGUGCUCCAGCAGAAUGUGCCCUCCUCAAUACCCACCACCAGGCUAACCCA
Molecule: long non-coding RNA, 4483 nt
Organism: Mirounga angustirostris (Northern elephant seal)
Lineage: Eukaryota; Metazoa; Chordata; Mammalia; Carnivora; Phocidae
Exons: 4
Source: RefSeq, a predicted model, not a curated record